GGUUUUGCGAUGAUAAGAACAUAAAUUCCUCGUUCUGAAUGCUGAAUUUGGGCUUGGUUGGUUGUGUACACUAAUUGGAUUUGAGCAAA
This is a non-coding RNA of Helianthus annuus (common sunflower), 89 nucleotides long. The record is from Rfam. NCBI's taxonomy places the organism in Eukaryota, Viridiplantae, Streptophyta, Magnoliopsida, Asterales, Asteraceae.